Molecule: ribosomal RNA, 408 nt
Filed under: uncultured beta proteobacterium
Lineage: Bacteria; Pseudomonadati; Pseudomonadota; Betaproteobacteria
Description: bacterial SSU rRNA
Rfam family: Bacterial small subunit ribosomal RNA
Source: RNAcentral
GAGUUUGAUCUUGGCUCAGAUUGAACGCUGGCGGCAUGCCUUACACAUGCAAGUCGAACGGCAGCGCGGGAGCAAUCCUGGCGGCGAGUGGCGAACGGGUGAGUAAAACAUCGGAACGUGCCCAAUCGUGGGGGAUAACGCAGCGAAAGCUGUGCUAAUACCGCAUGAGAUCUACGGAUGAAAGCAGGGGACCUUCAGGCCUUGCGCGACUGGAGCGGCCGAUGGCAGAUUAGGUAGUUGGUGGGGUAAAGGCCUACCAAGCCUGCGAUCUGUAGCUGGUCUGAGAGGACGACCAGCCACACUGGGACUGAGACACGGCCCAGACUCCUACGGGAGGCAGCAGUGGGGAAUUUUGGACAAUGGGCGCAAGCCUGAUCCAGCCAUGCCGCGUGCAGGAUGAAGGCCUUC